This 494-nucleotide ribosomal RNA is filed under the name uncultured bacterium. RNAcentral's name for it is "partial 16S ribosomal RNA". It matches the Rfam family "Bacterial small subunit ribosomal RNA", at positions 28 to 507 of the family's 1533-position model. The record is from RNAcentral.
GACGAACGCUGGCGGCGUGCUUAACACAUGCAAGUCGAACGGAAAGGCCUGCUUUCCCUUGUGGAUUGCGGGUACUCGAGUGGCGAACGGGUGAGUAACACGUGAGUGAUCUGCCCCCAACUUGGGUAUAAGCCUGGGAAACUGGGUCUAAUUCCCGAUAGGACUGCAGGGUGGUGCCUGUGGUGGAAAACGAUUUUCUAGUGGUUGGGGAUGAGCUCGCGGCCUAUCAGCUUGUUGGUGGGGUAAUGGCCUACCAAGGCGGCGACGGGUAGCCGGCCUGGGAGGGUGGACGGCGACAUUGGGACUGAGAUACGGCCCAGACUGCUACGGGAGGCAGCAGUGGGGAAUAUUGGACGAUGGGCGGAAGCCUGAUGCAGCGACGCCGCGUGGGGGAUGACGGCCUUCGGGUUGUAAACUCCUUUCGACCGCGAGGAAGCCACCUGGUUGGAAGGGUGGUGACGGUAGUGGUAGAAGAAGCACCGGCUAACUACGUG